CUUCGAUGGAUAGGGGUUCUGAGAGGAAGGUCCCCCACAUUGGAACUGAGACACGGUCCAAACUCCUACGGGAGGCAGCAGUGAGGAAUAUUGGUCAAUGGGCGCUAGCCUGAACCAGCCAAGUAGCGUGAAGGAUGAAGGCUCUAUGGGUCGUAAACUUCUUUUAUAUAAGAAUAAAGUGCAGUAUGUAUACUGUUUUGUAUGUAUUAUAUGAAUAAGGAUCGGCUAACUCCGUGCCAGCAGCCGCGGUAAUACGGAGGAUCCGAGCGUUAUCCGGAUUUAUUGGGUUUAAAGGGAGCGUAGGUGGACUGGUAAGUCAGUUGUGAAAGUUUGCGGCUCAACCGUAAAAUUGCAGUUGAUACUGUCAGUCUUGAGUACAGUAGAGGUGGGCGGAAUUCGUGGUGUAGCGGUGAAAUGCUUAGAUAUCACGAAGAACUCCGAUUGCGAAGGCAGCUCACUGGACUGCAACUGACACUGAUGCUCGAAAGUGUGGGUAUCAAACAGGAUUAGAUACCCUGGUAGUCCACACAGUAAACGAUGAAUACUCGCUGUUUGCGAUAUACAGUAAGCGGCCAAGCGAAAGCAUUAAGUAUUCCACCUGGGGAGUACGCCGGCAACGGUGAAACUCAAAGGAAUUGACGGGGGCCCGCACAAGCGGAGGAACAUGUGGUUUAAUUCGAUGAUACGCGAGGAACCUUACCCGGGCUUAAAUUGCAGUGGAAUGAUGUGGAAACAUGUCAGUGAGCAAUCACCGCUGUGAAGGUGCUGCAUGGUUGUCGUCAGCUCGUGCCGUGAGGUGUCGGCUUAAGUGCCAUAACGAGCGCAACCCUUAUCUUUAGUUACUAACAGGUUAUGCUGAGGACUCUAGAGAGACUGCCGUCGUAAGAUGUGAGGAAGGUGGGGAUGACGUCAAAUCAGCACGGCCCUUACGUCCGGGGCUACACACGUGUUACAAUGGGGGGUACAGAAGGCAGCUAGCGGGUGACCGUAUGCUAAUCCCAAAAGCCUCUCUCAGUUCGGAUCGAAGUCUGCAACCCGACUUCGUGAAGCUGGAUUCGCUAGUAAUCGCGCAUCAGCCACGGCGCGGUGAAUACGUUCCCGGGCCUUGUACACACCGCCCGUCAAGCCAUGGGAGCCGGGGGUACCUGAAGUACGUAACCGCAAGGAUCGUCCUAGGGUAAAACUGGUGACUGGGGCUAAGUCGUAACAAGGUAGCCGUACCGGAAGGUGCGGCUGGAACACCUCCUUUCU
This 1251-nucleotide ribosomal RNA is filed under the name Bacteroides fragilis. Its description in RNAcentral is "bacterial SSU rRNA". It matches the Rfam family "Bacterial small subunit ribosomal RNA", at positions 274 to 1533 of the family's 1533-position model. Lineage: Bacteria; Pseudomonadati; Bacteroidota; Bacteroidia; Bacteroidales; Bacteroidaceae. The record is from RNAcentral.